Molecule: long non-coding RNA, 623 nt
Organism: Dreissena polymorpha
Lineage: Eukaryota; Metazoa; Mollusca; Bivalvia; Myida; Dreissenidae
Exons: 3
Source: RefSeq, a predicted model, not a curated record
GCUAACGCCAAACAAGUAGCGUGCAUGUGUAAUUAAUUAGUCUGCCUCAUUAAGAAGGAUUUGUUACAUUACGUUACAAACGUAAACAAAAAAUGAAGGCUUUUACAAACUACACGGAUCAUUCGAUGUUUCUAUCGGUCGAUUUCGAAAUAGUUGGACUCGUUCAGGGGGUGUUCUUCAGAAAGUACGCGUUACACGCAGCAAAUAAGCUGGGUGUGACGGGCUGGAUAAAAAAUACACGGACUGGGGGCAUCAUGGGCAACAUUCAGGGCGUGCAAGUUCAGCAACGAGCGCGAGCUCAUUAAUCUCGACCAUCACCACUUCACCAUCUCCCCCAGCGACUGGUAGUUCUGUUCUUAUAGGAGACAACAUCCGGGUCCCGGCGAUUUUAAACUGGAUUGCGUGAACGAAUCAAAGUACUGAAAGUACUGGUGUGACGAUGCUUUUGAAAAGGAUGGAUAUAUAGAGGAUAUUUGUUGGAUUCGGUGGAAUAUCGAUUUUCCCAGAAAAACAGCGAACAAUGUCGAUAUUUUCACUGUUAUUUUUCACUGUUUAAAACAGUGAAAUACCAGUUUAUUUCACUGAUAUUUCUGCAAAAUCACCGGAAAGCAUAAAAUAAAUAA